UCCUGCCUCACGUCCCCCGGCUCUCUAGCAUCCUGCUCAGGCCACACACGCCUCCUCACCAGCCUGCCUUUGAGAGCAACUGUGGCCUUGGGGGCCGCAGGUUUUAAGUUCUGCACCAGCUGCAGCUUGCUAGAACGGGGGUUUGGGCUCCAGCAGCUGCCCAUAGGGGUGGCUUCCUGGCCCAGCAAUUGCCCCUCCUAGCCAUCACAGGCGGAGGCAGGCUGGGUCUGGAUUUCCCCUUCCAGUGAGGUUGGGAUCCAGGUUCAUGCAGCCUGGGACUUGCAUGGAGCCCCCACCAGGCAGGUGCCCUGAGAGAAGGGCAGGAACUUCUUGCUCCGCUGAUCCACCCAGAGCCUCCGUGUUUGCUGCUUCCUCCAGGCAGGUGUUGCGGAGAGCUCUACCUUCCACCCAGGAUGCCCAGAUGGGGAGGAUCCAGGUUGGGAAGGUCUGGAGGCUAUUUGGACACAAACACAGGCCAUGUGAGCCUGAAGGCAGAGACUGGGAGAUGCAUCUAGAAGCCAAGGAACGUGGAAGAUGGCCAGCAAACCGCCAGACACGGAGGGAGAGGCCUGGAGCAGUCUCCCUUAUAGCCCCAGGAGGAACCAACCCUGCUGGCACGUCGCUGUUGGACUUCUGGCCUCCAGAACUGGGAGACAACGGGUUUUGGUGGCUUAAGCCACCAACGACAUUCAUGCAGCCCCUGUGGAGGUCAAGCGAUUUGUUCCAGAGCUCUGGGCACGUCACUUUGCUUUUUGAGGCUUCCUAGCCUGUAAAGUGGGGAGUGGCAGCUCUCCGCAGCUGUCAAGAUCAAAUGAGAUAAAGAAGGCUGGAGAGAGGGGAAGGGCGGGAAUUGGAGGCGGAGAUGCUGACCUCCAUUUCUGCCCUGCUUCUGCCACCUCCUAGCUCAUGGCCACUUGCCCGCUACUUAAUAAUAAUAUUUACCUCCCAGGGUGGUUUGGGACCCAGGGGCGUUAAUUUGAUAGAAAUGACCUGGAGAGCAGCAGCGCUCCCCAGGGUUUUGCAGUUCUUGUUCAUGACAGAGCCCAGCGGAAGGUCCAAGCAUGAGGGAGGAAUGUCAAGGGCAGCGUGGUGGGCGCAGGAGCUGGAGGGGGCUUGGGGUUUGGUGAUUGACCUUUGACCUUCUCCAACAGAGGUGCAAAUGUUACAGAUGGGGUCUGGGGACAGCGAAGCGGGGAGAGGUGGACUGGAGUUGAGUGUGCUCUGGUUUGGAAGUGAGACCUUGACUUGUGGCCUCACCCUGUUUGGGUGACGUCUCUGUUCAGACCUAAGCCCCACGGGCACACGACAAGGAAGACAGAUGGGGGUGGUGGCAGUUGGGAGCCUUAGCGAGAUUCUGUCUGGUGCUGGGCUGGAGCCAGGGAAUGGGACCUUCUUCUGACAGCUCAUUGGCUGCUUCCCAUGGAAAAGAAGCCGAUCCGUGUGAUGCGGGCUUGGUAAGAUACCGAGGAACAAGGGGCGGGAAUGCUGCAGAGCACGGUGGGGAGGGAGAGCCCCUGACUGGCUGUGUUUUGGGGAACUGAUCCAGAUUUUCAAAGCCACAUGAUCACCCUGAUGGCAAAGAGUAGGCUGGUGUGUCCUGGCUUUCCCUCCCCAGCCCUUUCUUCUCACACCUCUCGGCGAUUUGGUUUUCUUUCCUUUCUCUAAGGCCUGUCCUUGAAAGAUGGAAAUGUCCAUAAGUUGGGGGUCUAUGCUGUGUCAGGUCUGGGGACAGAGAUGGGACCCCCCCAGAGACACCGAAUGCAGGAUUCUUUCAACAUCUCCAAGAGGUGCUGCUGUCAUGACCCCCGUGUGCCCGGGAGGAAAGAGAAGCUGGUGGACUUGGGGGACCACAUGAGUCUUGUGGGAACAGCGGUGUGCUGACCACCCAUCUGAGGACUAGGUGCGGACUGGCCUAAGGCAGGGGGGAGGCUCCAGGAUGACGGUCACUUGUCAUUUCUCCACUGGAGGCUCCACAAGGGCUUGCGGCCUCUGAUUCUCCGCCUGUGCUUCACAGCUACUGCCACAAGCAGGACGCUUCAGAGGCCCAGGCCCCACCUCUGCGCCCACCUGCCACUUUCAAAAGAAAUCUAGAGUGAAAGGAAGAGAGUUUCUAUUUUUGAUGAGACACCAGUGAAAUGGAGGCUUUUUAAAUAAUUAAAAUCCAGAAUACAUUAUUUAUUCA
Molecule: long non-coding RNA, 2182 nt
Organism: Symphalangus syndactylus (siamang)
Lineage: Eukaryota; Metazoa; Chordata; Mammalia; Primates; Hylobatidae
Source: RefSeq, a predicted model, not a curated record